RNAcentral lists this long non-coding RNA (689 nucleotides) under Gallus gallus (chicken). The record is from RNAcentral. Lineage: Eukaryota; Metazoa; Chordata; Aves; Galliformes; Phasianidae.
AGCGCAGCUCCGCGGCCCCUCGCAGCACGAAGCCGUCGUCGCAGUGCACCCACUUCCUCCCUAGCCCGGAAUUCGCCCGCCACUUCCGACCCCAACCGGAAGACGACCUCCCGCAACCUAUUUCGCACCUCGGCACUGGACGGGCUCCGAGCGGCCCCUCGGGGGGCCGCAGCGCUGCCGGGUUCGGCUCGGGGGGUGCGGGUGGGUGCUAAGUUGAACUAUGAUUGUCAUCCCCUAAUGGCUGACAACUGGGAAAGCAUCACUGGAGAAGGACCACCAAUGAGGCAGACUUUGCAGAAAGGUGAAAGGAGAGGAUCUGUUGCAAAAUGUGAAAAUGAAAGGGGGAAAGUCUACAGGUACCACUGAUCCCAGACAACCUUUGUAACAUGUGUGUUUGCCUGGUAAGUUUGCAUUUCAGAUCACAUGCGAAUAAACACAGCUCAAGGCCCAAACAAGUGACUGGCCCAUGAGAAAGGGCUCAUGCCAGCUUGGGAGCACAUACAGACUGCCUCUUGCUUCUGCACGUAGCAAGAAACUUGUUUGUGAGCAACUGCUCUGCAGCUGCAACCAGAUCUCCCUGCUUUCUGUGAAUUAUGCUUUCUUGUCUCCUGCUGUCAUAAAUACAGCACUGAGAGGUGGUGUGGGCACAGCUGCCCUUGCUGAGGUGAGUGCCUCUCUAUUAAACUGGU